CUCCCCAAGACCAAACCUUCUUUUUCCUCAAUGUCAGCUAGAGAUGGCAAUCGAGCUCGUCGGCUCGAGCUGCCCAUGGCUCGGCCAGGAAAAAGCUCGAGCCAACCUGGCUUGGACCGAGCCCCACUUUUGGGAGCCGGCUAGUAAAAAAAGCAGUAUAAAUCUGCUACCUGUUUGGCAGCUAUUUUAGAGGAGAAAAUUUUAAAAAAUUUUCAGAAAAUCGAGCUCGGCUCUCAAUUUGGUAAGGCCCGAGUUGAAAGCUUGGGUCGAGCCUUAAUUUUUUGGCCGAGCUUUAGCACGACUCAGCUCGAGCCAAAAAAAUCCCACCUCAAAAAAGCUCGAGCCGAAAUUUCGGCUUGACUCUUUGACACCCCUAAGUCGUCAUUUCGGCUCGACUCUUUGACACCCCUAAGUCGUCGGCCCCAACGUCGCCUCAAAAUCAAGGACCACUGCCACUUUAAACUAAGAACAGUACCUCCACCAGUGCCACCAAAUUCGAAGAUGAUAAGAACCCAUUUCACAUCAGACACCAAGGUAUCAAGGUGGCCGAGCAGCUUGCAAAAAUCGAUGGUGGAGACUAUGGUGACUACACAGCGGAGCACGCUCUGUCGCUUACACUUCUUAAGAAGGGCCAAUGACUUUUCAAGAUUUUUCGAUAUCUCGACGGCGAUGCGACAAAGGGGAUGGUUGUAGAAGGAAAAACCAGCGGUGGUAGAGGUGGAAAGACGUGCACAGCAACAUGUAGCAUCUGGCAAAGAUUACCCACUUUCUUGCCUACCUCAAAGCACUCCAACUUGAACGACUUCACCUCCUUUACAGCUUCAUCAACCCCAUCUAACAACAAAAUUGGGUAUGACAUAACCUCUUUGAUUCGCUAUUCUUGUUAAAUAGCUGUCUGAUUUUGGGCCUGCUUAUUCUGAGGAAGUAUUCCUGGUGGUGUUCUUAUCGCCAUAUAUCAAUUGAAUUCAAUUGGUUAAAAUUUGAUCGGCUUGCACUUAAUAAUUCAGAAAAAAUGUGGUGGAUUCCAACAAGUAAUUGGUAGAGUAAAAAAGGUGAAUUUUUCGGUAUGGGUAUGUUAGUAGCCUGAGAAAAUGGUUGGGGUGGGAAAAUGAAAGUGGUCUUAUCCGGAAUUGAUAGUUUUUUUCCUAUGCUUAAGAGAGCCGUAGGUUUUAGGUGGUGUUGGUGCUUGAUUUUAAGGCAGGGUUGGGACCAACAUUGAGGUGGUGGUACUAGAGGUG
Molecule: long non-coding RNA, 1238 nt
Filed under: Olea europaea subsp. europaea
Lineage: Eukaryota; Viridiplantae; Streptophyta; Magnoliopsida; Lamiales; Oleaceae
Source: RNAcentral